Molecule: ribosomal RNA, 459 nt
Filed under: uncultured bacterium
Lineage: Bacteria
Description: SSU rRNA
Rfam family: Bacterial small subunit ribosomal RNA
Source: RNAcentral
AGAGCGAACGCUGGCGGCAGGCCUAAUACAUGCAAGUCGAACGGAUCCUUCGGGAUUAGUGGCGGACGGGUGAGUAACACGUGGGAACGUGCCCUUUGGUUCGGAACAACUCAGGGAAACUUGAGCUAAUACCGAAUGAGCCCCCAUCCUUAAACAAGAUGGGUGGGAAAGAUUUAUCGCCAUUGGAGCGGCCCGCGUCUGAUUAGCUAGUUGGUGGGGUAAAGGCCCACCAAGGCGACGAUCAGUAGCUGGUCUGAGAGGAUGAUCAGCCACACUGGGACUGAGACACGGCCCAGACUCCUACGGGAGGCAGCAGUAGGGAUCUUGCGCAAUGGGCGAAAGCCUGACGCAGCCAUGCCGCGUGAAUGAUGAAGGUCUUAGGAUUGUAAAAUUCUUUCAGCGGGACGAUAAUGACGGUACCGCAGAAGAACGCCCGGCUAACUUCGUGCCAGCAGCCGC